AUGUUACAGCAAAGAUAACAAUUAUACUUUUAUGACAAUAUUAAAAAAUCAUCGCGCUUUUGCUUAUAUUAGCAGAAAAUUUAAAUUAAAUUAAACAAAGAAAUAUGAUGUUUUAUUCGUGAAUAUACUUAUAUGCGCAAGAAAAAACUUCAUAAAAUCCGCAUAUGAUAUUGAUCGAAAAUCGUUUCUGAUCGCAUCAAACAUAAUUUUAUCUACGUGGAAUUAUUUUUUUAAUUAUGACACGUCCGAGUAUGGGUGCGUUCUUUUUAAUUCUUUUAUUCACUCUGAGUACUACAGUACAGGGCAUCGAUUACGUAUUUCAUGUAUGAUUACGUUUUCAGUGACAUAGUUCACUUUUAGAUUUUCGGUGGCCAUCUCACGGUUUCACCGUUUGUCAUUUUCACUGCGAUCAUGUAGCGAAAGAAAUUAUUAAUAACAUAACUAGAAGUGAAAACUUGAGAAUGAAGACUUAUUCACAUCAAAAUAUUCCAAAAAUUAUACUGAAGGCAACUUCAUGGCUGUUAAUAUUUAGCAAAAUAAAGAGUUUCUGUAUUUCAAGAAGCAUAAAAGGUAAGUUAGCUUUGAGAGCUAAGCCCGCUUGAAGAUGUCCAAGUGAUGAGCUGUAAUUCAUCGAAGAGUAAAUAAUGAGUCGUUAAAUAAAUCUGUAUCUAACAAAA
Long non-coding RNA from Pogonomyrmex barbatus (red harvester ant), 677 nucleotides. NCBI's taxonomy places the organism in Eukaryota, Metazoa, Arthropoda, Insecta, Hymenoptera, Formicidae. The record is from RefSeq and is a predicted model, not a curated record.